Alexandromys fortis (reed vole) is the source of this 2883-nucleotide long non-coding RNA. RefSeq lists it as uncharacterized. Lineage: Eukaryota; Metazoa; Chordata; Mammalia; Rodentia; Cricetidae. The transcript has 7 exons. The record is from RefSeq and is a predicted model, not a curated record.
GAUCCUGCCCCAAUGCCAGGCACACUGCAGCUAUUUUACAGAGCAGCCAAACAAGUUCAGGCAACCUAGAUCUUUAUCUGCUUUGCUGAAAGGGGCUGGUUACAUUUUAAUCUCAGUUAUAUAAAUGUUUGUUUUGAAAGCAAACUGACCCACUCUAGUCUUCCCUCCUCCUCUGAUUUCCAGUAAAUAACUUCUCCCUUCCCUCAUUCCCUCCCUCCCUUCCUUCCUCCACCCUUUCCGCCCCCCUCAAAAAAAGAAAAGGAAUAUAGAAAAUUAAGAUUACAGUUGUGGACCUGUGUAUUUUUAACUAUCCCUGCAUCUAUGGAAAGAAUCUGUCUAGUUCAUGUUGCCAUAUCUCUGCGGAUUUUGCGUGGCAGUGUUCUCUUCCUACCCACUUCACAGAAGACACUAGCACAUCAGGGGCACUUCCGUGUUGACAGUCUGGGAGAAUUCAACAGUGAAUCUACCUGGGCCUGGACUUACUUCCAUUGGAAAAUUUUUGAUGUUUUUGCUUGUUAUAGAUCUUUUGCACAUAUGGAGGUGAAAGAACCAAUUGUUGGAAUCUGCUCUUUCCUGCUACCAUGCGGGUUUUGUGAAUCAAAUCCAGGUUGUCAAACCUGGUGGCAAGUACCCUUACAUGAAUGACUGAAGCCAGACAGAUUCUUAUGCCUGACGACAGUGGAGAACACUGGAAAUCAUGGUGUUUGGGGGUGUUGUCAUGCACUGCUGAUGAAAGGGACGGUGCCAGGAGUUGCCUUGGAUUUCUCUCUGGGGCUGGGAAAUCCCUCCGCAUUGACCUGACCUCCUAAGAGCAAAGCUACAUUUUCAACUAGAGAAAUAAACAGCACUGGAGACGCUAGUGAUGGAGAGAAAAGCAACCAGCUGUGCACAACCAGGAGCUGCUGUGGGAUCCUUCAGAGGACGCGGCAACUGCUGGAUUCCCUUACAUCUGUUCAGAGGAAACAUGCAUCUCAUAUGUGCAUACACAUCGUAUGUGACACACAUAGCACAUAUGAAUUCAGCUCAAGAAGAUCUACCAUCUUCAUAUAUUCAAGAAUAUAGAUGAUUUCCACCAAGCCCUUCCCUGUCAAGAAGACUCUUGUGCUUUUCACAAAGAGCACAGCCUUUCUUCUCCGUCCUCCUUCAGUUAAAUUGUGCACUGAAAUACAUUCUGAGAAAAGGGAGGUGGAAAGCAACGCAGAGCUCUGGGGAGGAAAAAGCGGGGAGGGUUUGAGGUUGUAUAAAAAUUAAGAGAGAAAAUGGAACAAUGAUUUUGACAGCAGGUGGGAACGCAAAGCUGUUAAUUAAGAGGGCACCCAUGAAGAACAUGAAGACUCAAGUUUCAAGAGGUUUACUGAUUCUUUUCCAGUGUUUUGUGAUGAUUUGAUUAUAUGGUACUAUUUUAAAAUAUCAUUUUAUAGUUUUAUGAAAUGACAGAGGAAGUAGCUUAACAAAAUGAUCAUCCCGGAGGGACAAGGCUGAUGACGAGUAUUUGGCAGCUAUUCAUCAUAUAUAACUCAAAAGUAUUAUUUACCCUGUGGCUAGAAAGACAACUAAUUAUAAGAAGUAGUGAUAAAAUUAAACAUGUGUGCUCAUCUCAAAUAAAUUGGGCAAGUUGGGAUGAAAAGAUGGACAGAUGAAUGAUGGGUAAAUGCAUAGCUGGAAGAAUAAAUUAAUGGAGAAAUGGGCACAAGAUUACUACACCCAUAAGAAAAUAUCAGAUAAUAUUAAUACAGUCAUGUUCAUGUCAAAUAGACAAAAGUAAGAUGAGCCAAAACAACAAAAUCUAAUCGGAGAGUUAUACUUUCUAUAAGGACAGAGGAAAUAGCUAAAGGGAACAGAUCUUUCUGAUGGGAGCCUUGUUUUAACACGAACAGCUCCACAAUUUUAAUACAGUUUAAUAAAUAUUAAAUAAACGUAAGUACGGACAGAGAAAGAAACAAAAAAAAAGGAAGGAAGGAAAGAAGGUGAUAAAAUUAUAUUUGGUAAAACAAGAAUGAUAUUUAUCCAAUACAGUCUAAAGAAUCUUUGUGUCGCAGAAGGAACGCACUUAACAUGUUAGUAGGAACCACUUGAGGCACAGAGGUGGAGCCCAUAUUCACAACUUGAUCCCUGAAGGAAUUUAAAAGGUGUGCCAGAUUUGGGGUGAUGCCUCAGAAGUACUGCCCAGGUUAUCUGAUCAUUCAAAUGAAGGCCUGGAGGGGUGGGUUGUACUGCCCAGCACAGAGGGCUUCCUAGUGGCAGGGAAGUAACCUGACAGCACCAUAGAGACAGAAUGAGACUAAUCAGUUUCACACCCUGUGUCUCCAUCCAGCUCCCUUUGCUCUACAACUGCCCUAUCUUUGUUUAAUGCCCAGUAUCACUUCAGCAUCCAUCCCAGCCUUACUAUGUUCUUGCCGCUACUUAUUCUUUCCUUUUGCCUUUUUGUCUUGCAAACAAUGGCCGCUGGCCAGGCUCACCCCAGCCUCCUUCCUGAAAGUCGGGAGUUCUGUUGCAUGAAAACACACCCUCAUUUCUCUUUUCUGUCUACCAUUCCACAAAAUUCUGUCCUUCGUUCAACUUUGUUUUAUCCCUACUGCUCCCUUUUCUACUGCAUCCCCUCCUCUCUUUUCCCAUUAUUCCCGUUCUCAUCACCAGCCAGGCUGUGUUUCUUCUCUUUUCAUUCAUACCUACAACUAAUAGAUUCGUACACACAGUCUCAUCAGUGUCCCUUUACUACCCCCAGAUGAUUAGUACUUAACGGAUGACAGUUUUGUGAAUUCCCUUACUCUAUCCUUUAGCAAUGACUGGUGGAACAGACAGUACUCUACUCUCAGGGGAAAACUGGCUAUAGAGCUUGAUGUUUGGAAUACUAGAGGAAAUAUGGAGAAAAAUGAUUUUGAC